GUCAGGUUGGCCGAGUGGUCUAAGGCGCCAGACUCAAGUUCUGGUCUCCAUAUGGAGGCGUGGGUUGAAAUCCCACUUCUGACA
RNAcentral lists this transfer RNA (84 nucleotides) under Dallia pectoralis (Alaska blackfish). RNAcentral describes it as "tRNA-OTHER". It matches the Rfam family "tRNA". From Rfam's summary of the family: Transfer RNA (tRNA) molecules are approximately 80 nucleotides in length. Lineage: Eukaryota; Metazoa; Chordata; Actinopteri; Esociformes; Umbridae. The record is from RNAcentral.